This 831-nucleotide long non-coding RNA is filed under the name Gossypium barbadense (sea-island cotton). Its description in RNAcentral is "long non-coding RNA (GBAR_LNC005033)". Lineage: Eukaryota; Viridiplantae; Streptophyta; Magnoliopsida; Malvales; Malvaceae. The record is from RNAcentral.
AAAUUCUUCCCAGCCCUUUGAGCUCCGGCCCUAGGCCGGUCUGCUUCGUUCAUCGGACCUCCGUGCUCAGCCUCACGCGCCGUCACCAACUCCGCCACACACGGCGGUCGGGAUUCGAAAAGCUUCGCUUUUCUCGGCGAAUCUCGAAGGUAUCUUUCUCUCCUCUAUUUUAAUGUAUUAUAUAUAAGUUAUUUACAAUAAAGCAGUAAAAUAAAAGUAGAAACAAUAUAUCACCUUCGUUUCUCUCGAAAUCCUUCUGAUAUAUUAUUGCAAAAAAUAUUUGGAGUACAAUAUUUUUGUGGUCUGUUUCUCUUUCUGUGUAUUUUUUUUUAUGCUUCUCUGUAUAUCUAUCAGCGUAAGUGGUCUUACAGAUUUAAGAAAAGGCUUUAUAGCCUUAAUCUUCUGCCUAUUUUGGAAAGAAAUCAAAAGAUUUCUUUCCAAACCCUGUUCUAAUCUAUUUGUUGUAGUUUUGCUUUGAUUUCUUUCCUUUUCCUGCAGGUGACUGCGAGGAUCUCGGUGGCGAGACAAGGCUGAGGUGUAGCGCGCUGAUGGAGCCUUGACGUGAGGCCAAUAGACACUCCCCGAAAGUUCUGGAGCUUCGUGAAACGAAAGGGCACUAAUUGGGCAUGACGUUUGAGGCGCCUGAAGCUUCCAGAAUGCUUUGCGGCGCGAGGAUAAAGAGAGCUAGGGUUUCUAACCCUAUCUGAAAGUCAUUUGGGGCCCCUACUAUUUAGGCCUUCGAGUUUAUUGGUAUUAGGUGGGUCUGUUUGGGUCUGUUGUAAUGGGUCCAGUUUAAGUUGGGCUACGGGUGUAUUUGGGUACAUGGGUAGU